This 376-nucleotide long non-coding RNA is filed under the name Cricetulus griseus (Chinese hamster). Its description in RNAcentral is "lncRNA (ENSCGRG00000026294.1)". The record is from RNAcentral. Lineage: Eukaryota; Metazoa; Chordata; Mammalia; Rodentia; Cricetidae.
AGCCUGUGCGUACCCCUAGCCACUCCCCUUACGCUGCCCUAUAAGAUCUUUUGGGAGACCCAAGGAGCUGUCUUUUCUAGCCGUCUGCCCUGGCGGGUGGGUGAAAGGCCCGAGCUAACAUGGGGUUAGUUCGUUAAAUUACAAUAAAGCCUCGUGCAGUUUGCAGCAAGCUCUCGAAUCCGCCUGGUGAUUGGGGUGACCGCGAACCUGGCCUGAGACCCCGGAUACUUGAGUUUUCGGGGGUCUAACAUUUUGGGGGCUCGUCCGCAAUUUGCGACCACCCUUCACCUGAGUGGAUUCUAUCAUGGAGCACAUGGCACGGGAAAGGAGUUCUGCCAUGUGUCACGGGUUAGAAUGUGUUAUGUUGGAGUCCCCC